Molecule: ribosomal RNA, 760 nt
Filed under: Cryptosporidium xiaoi
Lineage: Eukaryota; Apicomplexa; Conoidasida; Eucoccidiorida; Cryptosporidiidae
Description: SSU rRNA
Rfam family: Eukaryotic small subunit ribosomal RNA
Source: RNAcentral
UUAGAUAAAGAACCAAUAUUUUUGGUGACUCAUAAUAACUUUACGGAUCACAUUAUGUGACAUAUCAUUCAAGUUUCUGACCUAUCAGCUUUAGACGGUAGGGUAUUGGCCUACCGUGGCUAUGACGGGUAACGGGGAAUUAGGGUUCGAUUCCGGAGAGGGAGCCUGAGAAACGGCUACCACAUCUAAGGAAGGCAGCAGGCGCGCAAAUUACCCAAUCCUAAUACAGGGAGGUAGUGACAAGAAAUAACAAUACAGAACCUUACGGUUUUGUAAUUGGAAUGAGUUAAGUAUAAACCCCUUAACAAGUAUCAAUUGGAGGGCAAGUCUGGUGCCAGCAGCCGCGGUAAUUCCAGCUCCAAUAGCGUAUAUUAAAGUUGUUGCAGUUAAAAAGCUCGUAGUUAAUCUUCUGUUAAUUUUUAUAUAUAAUAUUUCGAUAUUUAUAUAAUAUUAACAUAAUUCAUAUUACUUUUUAGUAUAUGAAACUUUACUUUGAGAAAAUUAGAGUGCUUAAAGCAGGCUAUUGCCUUGAAUACUCCAGCAUGGAAUAAUAUUAAGGAUUUUUAUUCUUCUUAUUGGUUCUAGAAUAAAAAUGAUGAUUAAUAGGAACAGUUGGGGGCAUUUGUAUUUAACAGUCAGAGGUGAAAUUCUUAGAUUUGUUAAAGACAAACUACUGCGAAAGCAUUUGCCAAGGAUGUUUUCAUUAAUCAAGAACGAAAGUUAGGGGAUCGAAGACGAUCAGAUACCGUCGUAGUCUAAC